UACGUAGGGGGCAAGCGUUGUCCGGAUUUAUUGGGCGUAAAGAGCGUGUAGGCGGCCAUACAGGUCAGCUGUGAAAACUCGAGGCUCAACCUCGAGACGUCGGUUGAAACCGUAUGGCUAGAGUCCGGAAGAGGAGAGUGGAAUUCCCGGUGUAGCGGUGAAAUGCGCAGAUAUCGGGAAGAACACCCGUGGCGAAGGCGGCUACUCGUGGGACGGUACUGGACGCUGAGACGCGAAAGCGUGGGGAGCGAACAGG
RNAcentral lists this ribosomal RNA (256 nucleotides) under uncultured bacterium. Its description in RNAcentral is "partial 16S ribosomal RNA". It matches the Rfam family "Bacterial small subunit ribosomal RNA", at positions 524 to 776 of the family's 1533-position model. The record is from RNAcentral.